UACGUAGGUGGCAAGCGUUAUCCGGAAUUAUUGGGCGUAAAGCGCGCGCAGGCGGUUUCUUAAGUCUGAUGUGAAAGCCCACGGCUCAACCGUGGAGGGUCAUUGGAAACUGGGGAACUUGAGUGCAGAAGAGAAAAGCGGAAUUCCACGUGUAGCGGUGAAAUGCGUAGAGAUGUGGAGGAACACCAGUGGCGAAGGCGGCUUUUUGGUCUGUAACUGACGCUGAGGCGCGAAAGCCAGGGGAGCGAACGGG
Molecule: ribosomal RNA, 253 nt
Filed under: uncultured bacterium
Lineage: Bacteria
Description: partial 16S ribosomal RNA
Rfam family: Bacterial small subunit ribosomal RNA
Source: RNAcentral